UACGGGGGGGGCAAGCGUUGUUCGGAUUUACUGGGCGUAAAGGGCGCGUAGGCGGCAAUUCAAGUCAUCUGUGAAAUCUCCGGGCUUAACUCGGAACGGUCAGAUGAUACUGCUUUGCUAGAGUGCGGAAGGGGCAAUCGGAAUUCUCGGUGUAGCGGUGAAAUGCGUAGAUAUUGGGAGGAACACCAGUGGCGAAGGCGGCUCUCUGGACCGGUACUGACGCUAAAGCGCGAAAGCUAGGGGAGCAAACGGG
This 253-nucleotide ribosomal RNA is filed under the name uncultured bacterium. RNAcentral describes it as "partial 16S ribosomal RNA". It matches the Rfam family "Bacterial small subunit ribosomal RNA", at positions 524 to 776 of the family's 1533-position model. The record is from RNAcentral.